This 196-nucleotide unclassified non-coding RNA is filed under the name uncultured Basidiomycota. RNAcentral's name for it is "sequence contains ITS1". The record is from RNAcentral. Lineage: Eukaryota; Fungi; Basidiomycota.
AUGAGUUUGACAAUGGGUUUGAUGCUGGCCUUCCGGGGCAUGUGCUCGCCCUUGCUCAUCCACAUACACCUGUGCACCUAUUGUGGUUCUUUGGUUUGAACAGGUUGGAUAACGACCUGGGAGGACACAAGUUCCAUGUUUUUAUACACUCUAUGUAUGUUCAGAAUGUCUACUUGCGAUAACACGCAUUUAAAUA